Ylistrum balloti is the source of this 67-nucleotide non-coding RNA. Lineage: Eukaryota; Metazoa; Mollusca; Bivalvia; Pectinida; Pectinidae. The record is from the annotation of a RefSeq genome assembly.
GGUGCAGCCUAUCGGGCUAGAAGGUUUGAACCUUUCUUUGCGGGGGGGUGGAGUUCUCCAUGCACUU